AUGUGUUUUCUCUCCUCUUCAGCCUUUGUGAAGGAACUAAUGAGAUACACGCUUUCCACGACGGCCAUGGAUGCCAUUCACCAAGAUUCGUUUGCCGAAACAAAAAAACUCCAAUACGAAAAACAUUGUACUCUCUUUUCUGAUUCUAACCAUCCCCAUAGUUUCUCCGAAUACUCAAAGAUGGCAUCAGACCAUUGUAUUCGAACGGUUCUCAAUUUCGAAGAAAUCGCCAAGAUCGGGUGCUUCGGUGGGAGGUGUCCAAGGAGUGCUAUUCUACGCAUACAUAGGAGUAAAAAUGACUGA
Molecule: long non-coding RNA, 303 nt
Filed under: Vicia faba (fava bean)
Lineage: Eukaryota; Viridiplantae; Streptophyta; Magnoliopsida; Fabales; Fabaceae
Source: RNAcentral